Molecule: ribosomal RNA, 850 nt
Filed under: uncultured archaeon
Lineage: Archaea
Description: bacterial SSU rRNA
Rfam family: Archaeal small subunit ribosomal RNA
Source: RNAcentral
GGGCCCAAAAAUUGGUGAGAAGCCAUGCGAGUUGUAUGGGAUACCUAAAGUUCCCAUGGCAAACUGCUCAGUAACACCUGUUCAACUUGCCCUAUAGAGAAAAAUAACCUCGGGAAACUGAGGAUAAUAUUUCAUAGUUGAAAAGGCUUGGAAAAGUUUUUCAAUAAAAUGGAUAAGGAAAAUGGUCUUUAUCUGCUAUAGGAUAGGAUCGUGUUCGAUUAUGGUUGUUGGUGAGGUAAUGGCUCACCAAGCCGAUAAUCGAUAGGGGCCGUGAGAGCGGAAGCCCCGAGAUGGGUACUGAGACAGCGACCCAGGCCUUACGAGGCGCAGCAGGCGCGAAACCUCCACAAUACACGAAAGUGUGAUGGGGUUACCCAAAGUGUUCUAUUAAGAACUGUGGUAGGUGAGUAAUGUUCCCUACUAGAAAGGAGAGGGCAAGGCUGGUGCCAGCCGCCGCGGUAAAACCAGCUCUUCAAGUGGUCGGGAUAAUUAUUGGGCUUAAAGUGUCCGUAGCUGGUUUAGUAAGUUCCUGGUAAAAUCGGGUAGCUUAACUGUCUGUAUGCUAGGAAUACUGCUAUACUAGAGGGCGGGAGAGGUCUGAGGUACUACAGGGGUAGGGGUGAAAUCUUAUAAUCCUUGUAGGACCACCAGUGGCGAAGGCGUCAGACUGGAACGCGCCUGACAGUGAGGGACGAAAGCCAGGGGAGCGAACCGGAUUAGAUACCCGGGUAGUCCUGGCCGUAAACGAUGCAUACUAGGUGAUGGCACGGUCAUGAGCCGUGUCAGUGCCGUAGGGAAACCGUUAAGUGUGCCGCCUGGGAAGUACGGUCGCAAGGCUAAAACUCAAAGG